GGCCUGGUGGUCUAGUAGUAUGAUUCCUUCUUAGGGAUUUGUUCCGUUUGGAGGAGGUCCCGGGUUCAAUUCCCGGCCAGGCCC
This 84-nucleotide transfer RNA is filed under the name Ganoderma leucocontextum. RNAcentral describes it as "tRNA-Pro". It matches the Rfam family "tRNA". Rfam says of the family: Transfer RNA (tRNA) molecules are approximately 80 nucleotides in length. Their secondary structure includes four short double-helical elements and three loops (D, anti-codon, and T loops). The record is from RNAcentral. Lineage: Eukaryota; Fungi; Basidiomycota; Agaricomycetes; Polyporales; Polyporaceae.